RNAcentral lists this ribosomal RNA (119 nucleotides) under Sagittula stellata. The record is from RNAcentral. Lineage: Bacteria; Pseudomonadati; Pseudomonadota; Alphaproteobacteria; Rhodobacterales; Roseobacteraceae.
GGUUUGGUGGUCAUAGCGUGAGCAAAACACCCGGAUCCAUUCCGAACCCGGCCGUUAAGUGCCACCGCGCCAAUGGUACUGCGUCUCAAGACGUGGGAGAGUAGGUCACCGCCAAACCU